AUUUCUCUGAGAUGUUUGCAAGCGGGCCAGUCCCCUGAGCCGAUAUUUCAUACCACAAGAAUGUGGCGCUCCGCGGUUGGUGAGCAUGCUCGGUUCGUCCGAGAAGCCUUAAAACUGUGACGACACAUUCACCUUGAACCAAUGGUUCAAGGGUUACAGCCUGCGGCGGCAUCUCGGAGAUUCC
Molecule: non-coding RNA, 184 nt
Filed under: Salmonella enterica subsp. enterica serovar Infantis
Lineage: Bacteria; Pseudomonadati; Pseudomonadota; Gammaproteobacteria; Enterobacterales; Enterobacteriaceae
Description: 6S RNA
Rfam family: 6S / SsrS RNA
About the family: E. coli 6S RNA was the first non coding RNA to be sequenced, but its function was unknown until recently. It consists of 184 nucleotides that fold into an extended hairpin structure with a large single-stranded internal bulge.
Source: RNAcentral